UGGAGAGUUUGAUCCUGGCUCAGGACGAACGCUGGCGGCGUGCUUAACACAUGCAAGUCGAACGAUGAAGCCGCUUCGGUGGUGGAUUAGUGGCGAACGGGUGAGUAACACGUGGGCAAUCUGCCCUGCACUCUGGGACAAGCCCUGGAAACGGGGUCUAAUACCGGAUAUGACACGGGAUCGCAUGGUCUCCGUGUGGAAAGCUCCGGCGGUGCAGGAUGAGCCCGCGGCCUAUCAGCUUGUUGGUGGGGUGAUGGCCUACCAAGGCGACGACGGGUAGCCGGCCUGAGAGGGCGACCGGCCACACUGGGACUGAGACACGGCCCAGACUCCUACGGGAGGCAGCAGUGGGGAAUAUUGCACAAUGGGCGCAAGCCUGAUGCAGCGACGCCGCGUGAGGGAUGACGGCCUUCGGGUUGUAAACCUCUUUCAGCAGGGAAGAAGCGCGAGUGACGGUACCUGCAGAAGAAGCACCGGCUAACUACGUGCCAGCAGCCGCGGUA
This 503-nucleotide ribosomal RNA is filed under the name Streptomyces albus. RNAcentral describes it as "bacterial SSU rRNA". It matches the Rfam family "Bacterial small subunit ribosomal RNA", at positions 1 to 522 of the family's 1533-position model. The record is from RNAcentral. RNAcentral also lists the same sequence under 1 other name. Lineage: Bacteria; Bacillati; Actinomycetota; Actinomycetes; Kitasatosporales; Streptomycetaceae.